Molecule: RNA transcript, 2225 nt
Organism: Chelonus insularis
Lineage: Eukaryota; Metazoa; Arthropoda; Insecta; Hymenoptera; Braconidae
Gene name: gustatory receptor for sugar taste 64f-like
Exons: 10
Source: RefSeq, a predicted model, not a curated record
UAUUCACUUUCGAUCAUCUACUAGAAAAAUACUCUUUCAAUAAUAAUAUUUCAACUUUUGUUUUUAUUAAUUUAUUAUCAUAAUCCAAAUUGUCGAGUCAUUUCUAGAGCUUUUUCCUAUGAUUCAUCGCUGGGCAAGUGGAAUCCCCGGACAAGUCAAAUGAUACAACCUGAAAUGCGGAACUCAGGAUGCCCUAUGCAAAAUGCUGAUAGUCUUCAUGUUGCUCUCAGACCCGUUAUUUAUCUUGCACAAUGUUUCGCUCUCUUUCCUGUAAAUGGAAUCAAUUCAAAAGAUACUUCAGGUCUCAGAUUUACCUGGAGAAGCUUCAAAAUAUUAUAUGCAGCUGUAGUAUUGGGAAUGUCAAUUUUUUUAGCAAUUGCCAGUACCGUUCGUUUAUUUUCAUCAGAAUUUCAUACAACUAAAAUGACAACACUUGUAUUUUCUAUAACUACUUGCUUGACAAGUAUAAUCUUUCUAAGACUUGCUACAAAAUGGCCAGAAUUUGCAAGUUCUUGGGAAAAAGUUGAACGUGAAUUAGCAACUCGUCAUCGUCGUCCUCCUAAAUUUAACUUAACUACCAGAUUUAAAACUAUCACUGCUAUUAUCAUGAUUUUAGCUGUCGUUGAGCACACCUUUUCUCUUGCUUCGGGAUACAUAAGUGCAACAGAAUGUGCAAAUUAUCGAGGUGACAAAAAUAUCGCUGCAGUUUAUUACAAAACCCAAUAUCCUCAAGUGUUUAAUCGAACAUCUUACGCAUUAUGGAAAGGAAUUAUAGUUCAAUUUGGUCAUGUAUUUAGUACAUUCUCAUGGAACUUUAUGGAUCUAUUUAUAAUUCUUUUAAGUACAGCUUUGACUUAUCACUUUAGUCAACUCAAUGAUCGUUUAAAUUCUGUUAAGAAUAAGACAAUGCCUGAGUGGUGGUGGUCCCACGCAAGAAUCGAUUACAAUAAUCUUGCCAAUCUAACUCGACAAGUUGAUUCUUAUAUCUCCGUCAUUACCCUUUUAUCUUUUGGCACGGAUCUUUAUUUUAUCUGCCUCCAGCUGAUGUAUUCAUUUGACCGAAUAUCUACAAGUGUUAUGAGAACAAUCUAUUUAUGUUUUUCUUUUGGAUUUCUUCUUGCAAGAACUACUGCUGUUUGUUUAUCAGCAGCUGCUGUUCAUGAUGAAUCUGUGCUUCCUGCACCAGUUCUUUAUAGUGUUAAUGCCGCCAGUUAUUCCACUGAGGUUAUACGAUUUUUAACACAAGUAACAACUGACUUUAUUGGUUUAACUGGCAUGAAGUUUUUUUCAAUUACUAGAAGUUUUGUUCUUACAGUUGCAGGAACUAUCGUUACAUACGAAAUUGUUCUUGUACAAUUUAGUGCAGUUCAACAAGCAUCACAUAUAAAUAUCACCAACGCUUGUGAGGUGAAGUAGCUGUCAUCGAAGCGCAUCAUAUUUUUCAUCAGUUUUCAAAACUCGCCUUUUGUCAUUUUUCUUCUGUUAUCAUGAAGCAUUUUUGCUUCGUCACAAUUUCUACUUUUUUGCAAUUUUUCUUCGCUAUUUUUUCUAAUUAUGAAUCUGAUCUAGUCUUCUUCAUCAUAGUUCUGUGUCACUAUCCUAUACUUAAGACCAACUGUUGAAUUUUCUUCUUCUAUUUUUCUCUCUCUCUUCUUCUUCUUCCUCUUCUUCUGCAUCGACUGCCAAAUUGACUAUGUUUGUUAUCUAUUUUCUUCUAUCUCCAAUUCGAUUCUAUUCUUUUUAGUACGAGAUGGAAUUUGAAUUGCACAUCUAAGAAGGACAUUGUAUCAAUCACAACCAACCAUUGAUCAUAAGGAGUAUUGAAUCAGUCACAGCCAACCAUUCAUCAUAAGAAAUGAAUGUAACCUCACAUUUUUCAUCAAUUUUUAUGGUUAUUGAGGGUUUAACCUCUUUCGUAUCGGCAGGGUGGAGAAUAAAAUUGUUAUAUCUAUAAAAAACCGUAUGAAGAUGAGAAAUUUUAUGGAAAAAACAUCAGUUUUAUUUAUCAUAUCAUAUGUCUGUUACUCCAGAAUUUCAAGGUCGAAAAACGACGUAACAUAAAUUGAUGAAUAAAGCGCAGUAUUGUAUCCAGGGAGACGAGCGUGUGUAAAUUAAUGGGGACUGCAUAUAAAAAACAUAGUAAUCAUAAUCACUUGCUGCAUGAUAAAAAAUUUUAUUUUUUAUUAUGAUACAACAUAAACAAAUUAAAAGAUUAUCUCUGGCAU